UCCUCAAGUGCACAACUAUAACAUAAAGGACACGACAAUAGUAUAUCAAUGGUACAUUACAAUCCUCAUAAUAGUUUAUAACGAUGACAUGCAAAUAAAGUAGAGUAGUGGCAAGGCAUUAUUAAUAAUAACAUUCUAAUUAGCAUGGCAAAGGUAUCAUGAAACACAAGCAUGCAAGAUAGGCAUAAAGGAAUAACUACCGAUGAAAACGAUAUAAAACAACUGCAACUACACACACACUCAAGGUGCAAGCAAAGUCAACAUGCAAGUUCGGGGCUCAUGAUAAGAGGUUGGCUUGCCUGGGGGCGACAAAUACUCCGGGAAGAAGUGCGAAAUGAUCGCGAAAAGAUUUGCCGGAAACAGUUCCUUCUCGGAGGGGGCUGUUUACGGGCAAGGGCAAAAAGGUCAUUUUCAAUGUUUGAAAAUAUUAUGGAAAUGAUAUCAACGGAACGGGCUCGACGAAACGAAGAUGUGGGCUUUGGAAUCACCUGAUUCGGAGCUACGGGUAAAAAGAUAUGAUUGUUUAAUUACCACGGACCUAUUUGUAAAGAAAAUCAUUACAAACUGGCCCCUGGCAGAAAAACAGAUCGCGUCUUUCUCAGGAAUACGCUUUCCAGAGAGGAAAGCGCAUUCUGGCCCGAAGAAGAGGAGGAAUACGCUUUCGGCGACUGAAAGCGCACUUCCCGAAAUACGCUUUCGCGUACGGAAAACAGUUUCUCGGCGGGGCGCCGCCACUUAUCCGAC
Molecule: long non-coding RNA, 744 nt
Filed under: Triticum aestivum (bread wheat)
Lineage: Eukaryota; Viridiplantae; Streptophyta; Magnoliopsida; Poales; Poaceae
Description: long non-coding RNA (TAES_LNC028609)
Source: RNAcentral